CUCAGAUGAGGGGCUGCUCAGAGGUUCUGGGAAGUGCAUUGUGGGUGCCCUAUGGGGCUGUGCUGAUGUGGACCCACCCUUUAUGCCUUCCCCACCCAGAAUUUCUGAACAAAUUGGAAGGCAGAAAUUGACUGUGGCAGAAGAAAAAGGUGAGAAAGUUUGAAGUAAAAGCCAGCCUUGUUGAUGCUAUAGCAUCAGUGAAGAAGAAGAGCAGAAAACAGUCCCUUCACCAUGGGACAGGCACUGUUGGUGACUGUCACUCACCUGAGAAAGCUUGAAGACCUCUCUGAUCCUGCACAUCCUUCUGCUGAUGACACUGUGUCACAUGGUGGUGUCCCUUCCCCGGGGGCUGCUCUCACCGGUGGCAUCACCUCAGUGCUCUGACUCUGCCAGUGGCCCCACCCUUAUUCCUGAAGACAAAUGAAUGUCUCCCAUCGUCACAUCCCUUGGCUGAGGGGCCCAGAAGGAUACUCUCCAGGAUACUCAACCUUAUCCAGCCACCUGCACGUUUCUCUUAGUUACUUUGUUACUCAGUCAAAAUACUCAACAUUCAAAAGUUAAAGGAGAACAGGUUUAUAUCAGCUCAGAGUUUGUAGAGGUUUCAGACAGUCAGCUGGCUCUGGGGCAGAGUGACCUCACAGAGGAGAAACAGUCCAUGGCAUGGCAGGAAAUAGGCAGCAAGCAGCAGCAGUAGAAAACCCCUUUUUAUCUCUUAUAUCAUCCAGGCUACAAUGCUUUUGUCUAGUGCCACACACACCCUUAUUCUGUCUUCCCGUUAUCACAUCCAGAAUUGUGACAUAACAAUCGGACUAACGCAGUACCACCGACACUUAAUGUCAAUAACCUGCACCUUAGAUCAGUGAUGAUAAACCUUCUAGAGACUAGUGCCUGAAGUGAAAACCAAAAUCAUAUUUAUUUCAGUAUGCCCACCCGACAUUUAAACAUGAACACUGAGGUUUUGGCUUAGAAAAAUCAACUCAUACAUUCACAUCUUUUGUCUUAAAAGCAAAGCAACACACAGCCCACUACCAGUGUCCCAGAUCUAUUCACUUCUGAAAAGCCCCAUCCAAUGAGUGCCUGAGGCUUUGUUCAGACAUCUAGAUAACAACCCCUGACCUGUGACUCUAUCCCUAGGCAUAUGUCUAGAGCUAUAUCUAGUGUUCAGUGAUGGUUAGGGUUAAGGCUGUGAUUAGGUUGAGGGUUAAGCUUAGUUUGACAGUGUUAGUAAUUGGUCCAAGGAUAGGGAUAGGCUAUAUCCCAUGCUAGGGUUAGGGUAAUACUAGGGUUUCACAAGGGUUAGGGUUAGAAUUAAUUUUACAGCUAUUUCAGGACUAGUGUUAGGGUUAGGGUUAGGGAUAUGGA
Long non-coding RNA from Cavia porcellus (domestic guinea pig), 1362 nucleotides. RefSeq lists it as uncharacterized. Lineage: Eukaryota; Metazoa; Chordata; Mammalia; Rodentia; Caviidae. The transcript is spliced from 4 exons. The record is from RefSeq and is a predicted model, not a curated record.